GAAGCAGCGAUGCGGAGCGAAUCCCAAAAAUAACGUCCCAGUUCGGAUUGCAGUCUGCAACUCGAGUGCAUGAAGCUGGAAUCGCUAGUAAUCGCGAAUCAGCAUGUCGCGGUGAAUACGUUCCCGGGUCUUGUACACACCGCCCGUCACACCAUGGGAGUCGGAAAUGCCCGAAGUCGGUGACCUAACCGAGAGGGAGGAGCCGCCGAAGGCAGGUUCGGUAACUGGGGUGAAGUCGUAACAAGGUAGC
This 250-nucleotide ribosomal RNA is filed under the name uncultured bacterium. Its description in RNAcentral is "partial 16S ribosomal RNA". It matches the Rfam family "Bacterial small subunit ribosomal RNA", at positions 1251 to 1500 of the family's 1533-position model. The record is from RNAcentral.